This 200-nucleotide ribosomal RNA is filed under the name uncultured prokaryote. RNAcentral describes it as "partial 16S ribosomal RNA". It matches the Rfam family "Bacterial small subunit ribosomal RNA", at positions 1183 to 1382 of the family's 1533-position model. The record is from RNAcentral.
UGUCAAAUCAUCACGGCCCUUAUGUCUUGGGCUACACACGUGCUACAAUGGUCACUACAGUGGGCUGCCAUCUGGUGACAGAGAGCAAAUCCAUAAAGGUGAUCCCAGUUCGGAUCGGAGUCUGCAACUCGACUCUGCGAAGUUGGAUUCGCUAGUAAUCGUAUAUCAGCAAUGAUACGGUGAAUACGUUCCCGGGCCUU